AGAGUUUGAUCCUGGCUCAGGAUGAACGCUGGCGGCGUGCUUAACACAUGCAAGUCGAGCGAAGCGAUUUAAGUGAAGUUUUCGGAUGGAUCUUAAAUUGACUGAGCGGCGGACGGGUGAGUAACGCGUGGAUAACCUGCCUCACACAGGGGGAUAACAGUUAGAAAUGACUGCUAAUACCGCAUAAGCGCACGGUACCGCAUGGUACAGUGUGAAAAACUCCGGUGGUGUGAGAUGGAUCCGCGUCUGAUUAGGUAGUUGGUGAGGUAACGGCCCACCAAGCCGACGAUCAGUAGCCGACCUGAGAGGGUGACCGGCCACAUUGGGACUGAGACACGGCCCAAACUCCUACGGGAGGCAGCAGUGGGGAAUAUUGCACAAUGGGCGAAAGCCUGAUGCAGCAACGCCGCGUGAGUGAAGAAGUAUCUCGGUAUGUAAAGCUCUAUCAGCAGGGAAGAAAAUGACGGUACCUGACUAAGAAGCCCCGGCUAACUACGUGCCAGCAGCCGCGGUAAUACGUAGGGGGCAAGCGUUAUCCGGAUUUACUGGGUGUAAAGGGAGCGUAGGUGGCACUGCAAGUCUGAAGUGAAAGCCCGGGGCUCAACCCCGGGACUGCUUUGGAAACUGUAGAGCUAGAGUGCUGGAGAGGCAAGCGGAAUUCCUAGUGUAGCGGUGAAAUGCGUAGAUAUUAGGAAGAACACCAGUGGCGAAGGCGGCUUGCUGGACAGUAACUGACGUUCAGGCUCGAAAGCGUGGGGAGCAAACAGGAUUAGAUACCCUGGUAGUCCACGCCGUAAACGA
RNAcentral lists this ribosomal RNA (801 nucleotides) under uncultured bacterium. RNAcentral describes it as "bacterial SSU rRNA". It matches the Rfam family "Bacterial small subunit ribosomal RNA", at positions 8 to 809 of the family's 1533-position model. The record is from RNAcentral.